This 76-nucleotide transfer RNA is filed under the name Sphaerobacter thermophilus DSM 20745. Its description in RNAcentral is "tRNA-Ala". It matches the Rfam family "tRNA". Rfam says of the family: Transfer RNA (tRNA) molecules are approximately 80 nucleotides in length. Their secondary structure includes four short double-helical elements and three loops (D, anti-codon, and T loops). Further hydrogen bonds mediate the characteristic L-shaped molecular structure. tRNAs have two regions of fundamental functional importance: the anti-codon, which is responsible for specific mRNA codon recognition, and the 3' end, to which the tRNAs corresponding amino acid is attached (by aminoacyl-tRNA synthetases). tRNAs cope with the degeneracy of the genetic code in two manners: having more than one tRNA (with a specific anti-codon) for a particular amino acid; and 'wobble' base-pairing, i.e. permitting non-standard base-pairing at the 3rd anti-codon position. The record is from RNAcentral. Lineage: Bacteria; Pseudomonadati; Thermomicrobiota; Thermomicrobia; Sphaerobacterales; Sphaerobacteraceae. RNAcentral also lists the same sequence under 1 other name.
GGGGGCAUAGCUCAGCUGGGAGAGCGCUACAAUCGCACUGUAGAGGUCGGGGGUUCGAAUCCCCCUGCCUCCACCC